AUGGGAGCAACUCAGGCACAGUCUCCUUCUGUUCCCUAUCUCCCCAACAAAACCCAGAGUAAGGCUCCUGCUGAUUCCCUUAUGGGGAGCAGGAGCUGCCACGUGGAUGCCGGCACGCAGACCUCUUCCUUCCAUUGCCUGCCCUUGGCACAUCCUGGAAAACUGCACGGUAGCACUCUAGUUUGUCAGUCAAGAACACCAGACACAGAUCUACCAGACAAACAAACGCAGUAAAAGGGAGAAAGGAAGAGCUCUUGGGCAACGGUGUUUGACCUCGGAAAGAAAGCAGCAAGGCAUGAAGGCAGGAGGUGUUUGGGGAGAGCUUUGUGGAAGAUCACUGCGUCUGCUUUGCUUUUCAGAGGAAAUUAUAGCAAGGAGGAGAAGUUAUUUCAGACUGACAGACACCAAAUGUCAGCAAUCAUGAGAUAAUCAGUGCAGGUUUUAUUAUCUUUAAGUGGUUUGAAAGUCUGCAGAUUUCAGACAGCUUCAAAAUCUAGAGGAAGACUGUGUCUCAAAGACAGUCUUAUGAAUAUUACAUACACGUGCUCUGUGUAGCAUUGCACAUAUUUUUAUGUGCUAAAUUCUCUAGCAGCUGUCUCCGCAGCUUCUUCUGCAGUGCCCCUUUGCGCUGAACUCCUCCUUGAGCAGCCUUGCAAACCUCUGCCCUUUUUCUUUCAAGUCUUUACAUAAAGCCCCUUCUUUGUUUCUGACAUAGCCCCGCUCUGUAAUGAGCUCCAGAGAAAAUACACUCUGUCAGUCCAGAAAGUCACUGAAGUAGCUGUGCUCAGACAUGUUCAAGGUGACUGCUAAAUAUUAAAGAAAUUCCUUGUAAUGUAAACUAGACUUUGCUAGAAAGCUGUAUUACUGAGGGGUGGUGCUCAGAGCUGCCGGGAGCGACUGCUGGGGCAUCACCAACAGCCCUUGUUCUCUGCACACACAGCGUGCCAAGGAGGACGUGAAGCACGGACAUGUGACAUGGGGUGAUUGCACUGCGGGGUGACAUGCAGCACUGCAUCUGUCACAGCCAUCACAGCCACCGCACACCUCGGAGCGGGCGUCAUUAAUGUCAACGCUACACCCACAGUGCACCCCAUCUUCGAAAGGACCCUUAACAAGCUCUUUCUUUCCAAAACAGCAUUCUCCCAGCUCAGUGAUAGCUGGUGAUAUUGGCAGGUUUGCUAAGGGGAUGCGAGGGGAAACUAAGGGAAGUAAUUAGGGUCCUGCCCACAGGAAC
RNAcentral lists this long non-coding RNA (1234 nucleotides) under Numida meleagris (helmeted guineafowl). Its description in RNAcentral is "lncRNA (ENSNMEG00000021408.1)". The record is from RNAcentral. Lineage: Eukaryota; Metazoa; Chordata; Aves; Galliformes; Numididae.